Non-coding RNA from Theobroma cacao (cacao), 1832 nucleotides. The record is from RefSeq and is a predicted model, not a curated record. Lineage: Eukaryota; Viridiplantae; Streptophyta; Magnoliopsida; Malvales; Malvaceae.
GACAAAAAAACUACCUUUGUAGAAUACAUUUAUCGCUUCGUUGUUUUAAAGCAAAAACCAGAUUCUCUCUUCUCUUAUGAGAACAAGGAAACAAUGGCGCUAACUCCCUCUCCUUCUUCUUCUUAUCCAAAUCUUCUCCAAUUCUCUGUUAAAUCUCCAUCUCCGUCCGUACAUUAUCUUCUCUUCGGUUCUCCAUGGUCAAACGCUUCUCCGUUUCUGCUUCAAAAGAGCGGAGUUCCUCUGCUUCCGGUCGUAGUGAAACCGUCUUGUAAGAAGAUCAAGUGCUUCGCUAGAUCCUCAACGGAGGAGGACUGCUUGAGCGAGCCGGAAACAUUGACCGCUGAGAAUGUUGGUGAAGAUGAUGAUGGUUUAGGGAGGGAAGAUCCGAACUUGCAGGAAAGCCAAAGUUCUGUGGUUGCGACGCAGAGGAUCACUUCCUCUUCCAGUGAUUCUCUCUUGCUUGGAAUUCGUGAGCCUGUCUAUGAGGUGGUAGAGGUGAAGUCAAAUGGAGUAGUAUCUACAAGGAAGAUAAGCCGACGUCAAUUAUUGAAAUCAAGUGGUCUUCGUCCUAGAGAUAUCCGGAGUGUUGAUCCAUCAUUGUUUUUGACUAACUCAGCACCAUCUCUUCUGGUACGUGAGCAUGCCAUUCUACUUAAUCUGGGAUCAUUACGAGCAAUAGCAAUGAAAGACUGUGUUCUUAUAUUUGACUAUAAUCGUAAAGGAGGAAAGGCUUUUGUGGACACAUUGUUGCCUCGACUGAAUAACAUGAAUGGAGGUCAUUGUAUGCCAUUCGAGCUUGAGGUUGUUGAAGCAGCAUUGCUUUCACGAACACAGCGGUUGGAGCAGAGACUUAUGGAUUUAGAACCUCGUGUUCAAGCUCUGCUUGAGGUGUUGCCUAACAAAUUAACCGGUGACAUAUUGGAGCAACUUCGUAUUAGCAAGCAGACGUUGGUUGAAUUGGGUUCAAGAGCAGGGGCUCUUAGACAAAUGCUGCUUGAUCUUUUGGAGGAUCCUCAUGAAAUACGUCUUAUAUGUAUUAUGGGAAGAAACUGUACUCUUAAAAGGGGAAAUGAUGACGUUGAAUGUUCUGUACCCUUAGAAAAGCUGAUUGCUGAAGAAGAGGAGGAAGAAAUUGAGAUGCUUUUGGAAAAUUAUCUUCAAAGAUGUGAAUCUUGCUAUGGUCAGGCAGAAAGGCUUCUUGACUCUGCAAAAGAAAUGGAAGAUUCUAUUGCUGUCAAUUUGAGCUCUCGGAGACUCGAGGUAAGCAGAGUGGAACUGCUUCUUCAGGUUGGGACAUUUUGUAUGGCAGUUGGUGCUCUAGUUGCAGGUAUAUUUGGCAUGAACUUGAAGUCCUAUCUGGAAGAACAUGUGUUUGCUUUCUGGCUAACCACAGCAGGGAUUAUUGUUGGUGCUGUUGUGGCAUUUUUUCUCAUGUACUCGUACCUCAGGACUAGAAAAAUUCUGUAAUUUAGGAGUUCAGGUGAAACUGACGGCAAACAAUUCUCGUCGCCAAACCUGUAAUGGCUGCCAUAUCCUGGGUUCAAAUACGUCCUCUUUUCUCCCACUCUUUCUAUUACUACUAUUUAUGGCGGUAUUCUUCCAUACUCGACUUGGGUUACUUCUACUCCACUUUCCACCAACGAUAAAAGUCACUUCAGUCUGUCGUUGAUGCAUUUCCUUGCCUUUUCAUUGUUAAGUCUCGAGCAUUGUUUGCUCCCAGCCUGUAUUCAAUUGGAAGUGGCAUAUAUGACACCUACUUUAUGAUUGAUCAUUAUGAAUAUUCCAAGGAUAGAAUUGCAAAUUGCAGCACUCAUUUCGUUGGCAUGAAACUA